This 1188-nucleotide long non-coding RNA is filed under the name Phoenix dactylifera (date palm). Its description in RNAcentral is "long non-coding RNA (PDAC_LNC006259)". The record is from RNAcentral. Lineage: Eukaryota; Viridiplantae; Streptophyta; Magnoliopsida; Arecales; Arecaceae.
AGUGUCAUUAAGUUAUUAAUACAAUACAAUAAUUUCAAAGAGAUAUUUAUAAUGAUACAUCCCUUUUGAUAUUUCACUAGCCUAUCUCCCAUAGAAUAGUAGGUUACAAGAAAUCUCCAAAUAGUGGUCAUGCCUCCACCACUUGUAAUCAGAUAAUAACAUAACAAUGGUAACUGAUAAUUUUUUUCAAGUGGUUUAUCAAAAAGUGGGAGAAGCACUAUAAACUGCCAGAGUUUAGACUAUCAGAGAUUUAACCAAUUGCCACAAAUAAUAUGAAGGAUAUCCUCGUUGAAUCCCUCAAUUAAGUUACUUCACUAAAUCAAAUGUUAAAAUAGAGCAUGUGACCAAAAUGUUACAGCACAUGUAACCCACGCCAUAUAAGAUCUCUCGUUACGUCACGUUCUUGUUUUUUAACCUGUAUAAUGCAAAGCCCCUAGCUAGAUUGUUCUAUUGCUUAGAUAGAAGAUGAAACCAUAAAGAACUCUUUUAUCAAAACUCUAUAUGUCACUGAAUAAUUGAUAUUGAAACUUAUACACCUCUAAAUAUAACCACUGCUUACUCAUCAUGGCCUUGAAAGAAUUAUUUUCUCAAUAAAGUAACUAGUAAAAACACUAAGGAGGCAUCCGUCACCUCUGGACAAACCUCCGGUGUCCGCCACCGCCAACCCCACCAAGGCAGAGCAACGACAUCAUUAUGAGUGAUAAGAGCAAGGUGAUGCUCAAGGAGGCCGUGGUAGUGGGGAGGCUGGCGGUGGAGGUGGGCUUUAGCCCUAUCAAAGAUGAAAACGAAGAUAAGGGGGAGAAAGAUGAAAGAUAGGGGCUUCAUCCCUUUCUAGUCAUCAACGAAAGCUUAGCAGUGAAAAUGAAGAUGAAAGGGAGUGGGGAGAAAGAUCUUCAUAGUACCUCGGGUCCUCAAUGGAAUUGCAGUCGGCUGAUGAUAGGGGGCUCGUCCUCAAUGGAACAAGCUUCAGAGAAGACCGACAACUGGAGACCAAUGAUGAGGGACUGCCGGAUUAGAUUUUGGAGUGGCCGUGGAGGUGGAGACACAAGAAAUCGAGGAGGAGAAGUGGAGAACAAGGUACCCUAGCCCUAAGCUUCAAUUUGGGACUUAGGAAUGGCCGAGUGGGGGAGUCAGGACUUCGAUUUGGGAUUUAGGAGUCACCGAGUUGGGAGUUCGAAACUCUUUUGA